AAUGGAGGAAACUCUGAUGCAGCAACGCCGCGUGGAGGACGAAGGUUUUCGGAUUGUAAACUCCUGUCUUUUGGGACGAUAAUGUCGGUACCAAAAGAGGAAGCCACGGCUAACUACGUGCCAGCAGCCGCGGUAAUACGUAGGUGGCGAGCGUUGUCCGGAAUUACUGGGCGUAAAGGGCGCGUAGGCGGCCUGUUAAGUCAGAUGUGAAACCCCCAGGCUCAACUUGGGGAUUGCAUAUGAUACUGGCAAGCUUGAGUCUCGUAGAGGGGGGUAGAAUUCCAGGUGUAGCGGUGAAAUGCGUAGAGAUCUGGAGGAAUACCGGUGGCGAAGGCGGCCCCCUGGACGAAGACUGACGCUCAGGUGCGAAAGCGUGGGGAGCAAA
Molecule: ribosomal RNA, 385 nt
Filed under: uncultured bacterium
Lineage: Bacteria
Description: bacterial SSU rRNA
Rfam family: Bacterial small subunit ribosomal RNA
Source: RNAcentral